GGGCGUGUGGCGCAGUGGUUAGCGCGUUUUCUUCAGGUGAAAAAGACCCCAGUUCGAACCCGGGCACGUCCA
Pachysolen tannophilus NRRL Y-2460 is the source of this 72-nucleotide transfer RNA. It matches the Rfam family "tRNA". From Rfam's summary of the family: Transfer RNA (tRNA) molecules are approximately 80 nucleotides in length. Their secondary structure includes four short double-helical elements and three loops (D, anti-codon, and T loops). NCBI's taxonomy places the organism in Eukaryota, Fungi, Ascomycota, Pichiomycetes, Alaninales, Pachysolenaceae. The record is from Rfam.